CAUGUUUUCUGUGGGUCUUUUCCAACCUGGUAGGUAGCUUCUGCUUCUCUCGCCACGGAACUCCAUUUCCUCGUACACGAGGCAACGGACCGACUGGACUCGGCUGAAGGGACGUGUCCGAGCGCCCGGUAAUUAACAUGUCCCUCAGCAACGCCAUAAUCAGAGGCCUCCUCCGAGGCUGCCACGGCAAGCCUCCUGUUUUCAAGGGUUAUGAGUUUCUGCUCUCACAUCUCUUCUUUUCCUAAAUAGCAGCGACGGAGCUGGCUGCAAGAACACUUCAGCAGCUCCUCCGUGCUGCGGUCAAAUCAUUUUUCAGUCAUGUGAAAAUCAACAAGAAAAGACCGUUGGGGUUUCAAACAGCUUUAUGUUCCCAUCUGGCAUCCGAAAAAGGCUCAUUUAACUUAACGCAGCCACAUUUUUCAAACACCUGGUUCUUCCUUGGCAUUCUGUCGAAAAAUCCUUCUUCCAAAACAAGAACGAAAUCUCAGUUAUCACUUAACCGUUCAUCAGCGCGUGUGGCGAGGAACACUCGGGAUCCAUGUGUUUCAGUUUCUGCUAUAGAACUUCAGAACCAACCAUAAUAAGACCUCACCACCGCUGCUGCCUCCUCCACGUGUAUGGAGUGCUUACGCUGGGUGCUCAGUACUGGCUCGAUCAUUCACAUCCUACCUGCCUAGACUAGGCUGCUCCCAGCUCUGAGCCUCCUGCCCUUGAAGAGAUGAACAGCCAGUGUUCAAGAGCGGUGAUAACUUGCACCCAGAGGCACCUCCACAAAUGACAGAUAGAGCAUCUGACCAACAGGCUUUCCACUAGAGGGUCCUCGAUGCUAUACUGAGCGCCAGUCAGGGCCAGGCAUGUGCUGAGCCCUGGGGAGAUGGCGGGGAACAGCCAAAGCCACUGCUUCAGGAUGUUACAAGACAAAGGGUGGACUGACAACACCAAAGUAAGCAAGAAGCUCACCUGUGACCGCCCAGCUCGAGACAACAGACUGCCACCCUGCUGUGUUCACUGAGACAGAAGACCUACCUGCUGUUUCCAUCAAUAGCUGUGCCGACAGAGCAGUCUCGAGACUAUUGUAAAAGGGACAUUUCAAUCCUAUGUGAAACAUCCUGUUUGGGGGUAUAUAACCACUCUGUGCACUCCACUUCUUUGGUGCCCUUUCUUCCUUCGGGAAGAAAGGCCCCGGGUUAUAAUCCUCAGAUUUAAGCUCAGAAUAAACUCACCCAAAUUUUCA
RNAcentral lists this long non-coding RNA (1234 nucleotides) under Equus caballus (horse). RNAcentral's name for it is "lncRNA (ENSECAG00000041725.2)". Lineage: Eukaryota; Metazoa; Chordata; Mammalia; Perissodactyla; Equidae. The record is from RNAcentral.